Molecule: long non-coding RNA, 850 nt
Organism: Sapajus apella (tufted capuchin)
Lineage: Eukaryota; Metazoa; Chordata; Mammalia; Primates; Cebidae
Exons: 2
Source: RefSeq, a predicted model, not a curated record
GGGUUGGGCAUCCAGUGAAGGCUUGGGGAACUUCACUGGCACCAACCCCGUCUUUGCAGUAUGGACACAGCUGAACAAUGCCCUCCACGGCCAAAGAAGGACAUGGGCAGCCCUCCUCAGACCUGAAAACUAGUGCUUGCUACCAAGCCCCAAGUCCUAAACUAGAGUCCUGAAACCAGGAGGCUCUCAUACCUGAGAAGGCAGCCCCACAGGUGAAAAAGUUCACUUAGACAAAUCCUUGGGUGCUAACCCAUUUCCUGCGACAGGACCAAGGCUUAGGUGUCAGGGAAGGUCUGAAAGCACUAGUUCACCUUCAGGGUGCUGCAGAAACUUUGGAGACAGUCUAACGGUGCUUCUACGCCAGCUUAGCUGUCCUUCCUCACACAAGCAGAGGUCUCUCUCCUGGCCCUCCCCAGUCACCCCGUCCCUGGCCACCUGUUCUGGGACACCCUCUUUGGAUGGAAGGAUAUCACCAGGAAAUGGACAGCCUGCUCCCCAUGGCAGUGCUGUCUGACCCUGCCCUGCCUCGACCUCCCUUCCUAAACACAGAAAGACACACGGAGAGACUCCUUCCCAACCAGAAACCCAGCCUAUUGGUGACCUUUUGGACCCAGUAUUCUGUAUUUGGACCCAGUAUUCUGGUAGUGGAGCUUCGACUCCAAAAACACGUCCUUUCUUCCCUCUCAAAUGUGUCAUCUCUUAAAGCUUCAUCUGGGACAUAACAAGGAUCCAGGAAGGCCAUGGGUGAUGAUGGCACCUGGGAGCAACCACCACAUCAACGUUACUGUCAUCAAACCCAGGACCAACAGCCCAGCCAAGAUCUGGCUCUUCAGCCACAUCUUAAGGGAAG